This 437-nucleotide ribosomal RNA is filed under the name uncultured bacterium. Its description in RNAcentral is "partial 16S ribosomal RNA". It matches the Rfam family "Bacterial small subunit ribosomal RNA", at positions 29 to 506 of the family's 1533-position model. The record is from RNAcentral.
AACGAACGCUGGCGGCAUGCCUAACACAUGCAAGUCGAACGAGACCUUCGGGUCUAGUGGCGCACGGGUGCGUAACGCGUGGGAACCUGCCCUUAGGUUCGGAAUAACUCCCCGAAAGGGGUGCUAAUACCGGAUAAUGUCAUCGGACCAAAGAUUUGGCGCUUGGGGAUGGGCCCGCGUUGGAUUAGCUGGUUGGUGGGGUAAAAGCCUACCAAGGCGACGAUCGAUAGCUGGUCUGAGAGGGUGACCAGCCACACUGGGACUGAGAGACGGCCGAGACUCCUACGGGAGGCAGCAGUGGGGAAUAUUGCACAAUGGGCGGAAGCCUGAUGCAGAAACGCCGCGUGCGGGAUGACGGCCGUCGGGUUGUAAACAGCUUUCGCCUGUGACGAAGCGUGAGUGACGGUAAUGGGUAAAGAAGCACCGGCUAACUACGU